Molecule: non-coding RNA, 94 nt
Filed under: Schistosoma japonicum
Lineage: Eukaryota; Metazoa; Platyhelminthes; Trematoda; Strigeidida; Schistosomatidae
Source: RNAcentral
AUGAGUAGUAAGAUAAUUGUAGCCUUCGGUUCACGUGGUCAAGUGUUUGAUUAUAUUCGUGAACGUGGACAGCUACGUGAGUUUCACUAUGUUG